RNAcentral lists this ribosomal RNA (253 nucleotides) under uncultured bacterium. Its description in RNAcentral is "partial 16S ribosomal RNA". It matches the Rfam family "Bacterial small subunit ribosomal RNA", at positions 524 to 776 of the family's 1533-position model. The record is from RNAcentral.
UACAGAGGGGGCGAGCGUUAUUCGGAAUUAUUGGGCGUAAAGGGCGCGUAGGCGGCUUUUCAAGUGACGGGUGAAAUCCCUCGGCUUAACCGAGGAACUGCCUGUCAGACUGGAAGGCUUGAGACCGGGAGAGGUGAGUGGAAUUCCCAGUGUAGCGGUGAAAUGCGUAGAUAUUGGGAGGAACACCAGUGGCGAAGGCGGCUCACUGGACCGGAACUGACGCUGAGGCGCGAAAGCGUGGGGAGCAAAAAGG